UUCUUCUUCGUCCUAACCUUCUUCCUGCUCUUCACUUCUCCCGCUCCACCCACCUUCAUUUUCUUCUGUCUUAAUUAUGAAAAGAGGCAACGACUUAUGUGUGUUAGAGGUUUCUAAAAGCUCAAGCAAAAAAAAGAGGAGACAAUUAAUCCAUUUAUUUACAACAUUAAAACAUAUAGAUAUAACAUCUAUGGAUCUUGAUUGUCACUUAGUCCAAUUCGGCCGUUUAUGGAUCUUGAUUGUAACUUAGUCCAAUCCGACCUAUGCGACAUGAGCUAAAUGAUGGCCUACCUGUACACUUCAUAGCAUAGGAUAAUCGAUCCCUCACUUAGAGUUGGCUUGGUGGAGGGAUGAAUAUUCUCCCCACAAUACUUUAUAGAGUAAAUGUUAUUUGUAAAAAAAAAAAUUUACUGAUAUUUUAUUGUGUCAUAAUUGAAAGUACGGAAAGAGAAUAAAGAAAUAAGAAUAGAGUAAGAGAUGAAAGAGAGUGAGAGAAAGGGAGGAGAGAGAAGCGAAUAGAGAGAAUAACAAAAAUAGAAAGGAAGAUGAAUAAGAGAGAAGUGAAGAGGGAGAAGUUAAGAAGAUAAAAUAAGGAGAUAGAAAGUGAAGAAAGAUAAAAUAGUAAGAGAGAAUGGAUGAGGAGAGGGAAGAAAGAGAGAUAAAGCAAGAAAAGAGGAGUAAGAAAGAAAGUGAUGAGAGAGAAAGAGAAAAUAAGAAGAGAGAAAAUAAAGAAAGAGUUCAAUACUUGCUGACGCUUCACUUUCAAAUUAAACAUAGUAUAUUGUCUUUUUUUUCAAGCAGGGAAAGUAUAACAUCCAAAGUAAAGAGAGAGAGUGAAAGAGAAAAAAAUAAAGAGAGAGAAAAUAAAGGGAGAGAAAAUACAGAGAGCGAAGGAAAGAAACACUGAGAAAAAAAAAUAAAGAUAGAGAAACCAAAUAGCGAUUAAAUAAGGAAUGAGAAAGUGAUGAGAGAAAAAGGAAUUUGGAGAUAGAAAGAUAGAAAAAAUAAUGUAUGGAAGAGAGGUGAGAAAGUGAAGAAAGAAAUAGAAGCGACAAGGAAAAGAGAGAAGGUGAAAAGAGAAAGCAAAUAGAAAGAAAAAAGAACAGAAUGAGAGAGAAAGUAAGGAGUAAACAUAUAAAGAGAGAUGAAAUGUUC
Molecule: long non-coding RNA, 1155 nt
Filed under: Ananas comosus (pineapple)
Lineage: Eukaryota; Viridiplantae; Streptophyta; Magnoliopsida; Poales; Bromeliaceae
Description: long non-coding RNA (ACOM_LNC007428)
Source: RNAcentral